GACAACACCUAUCCUGAACAUAGUACGUGGCUAUUUAAAAAAAAGGUACACCAAACAAACUUUUUUUUUCGAUAUACAAAAAGGAGUAGUAUUUAGUUCAUCUAUUGCCUUUAGUAACUUCCACGACUAGAGAUCUAAUCUCCAAAAUCCAUCACCCUCAAUAUAUACAACAAUUGAAGCAAAAGAGUGAUAUGAACCAAAAGGAUUAGGUGCUUACCAUUUGCAUGCUCGAAGUAGAAUUGUAAAUUUGGGACUAACACCUAGAGGUUGAAAGAAUUUCUUCAUGUUGACUCGGAUUCAAGGGCAGACAUCUAAUGGCAGGGUUGACUCAUUAUAAUCACUCGACAUAAUUAAUCAAGGAUUAGCGUACCCAGUUCGUUGUUGAAUUCGGGUUUCUUUUCGAAGGGAAGUAAAGUGGAAGAAGAUCAUUUCUUGAUAUAUAAAGUAAGAAUUGUCCUCUUCUAAGUAUAUUUAAAUUCAUCUAGGUCAUAGUUAAAUUGUGAGACGGGAACUAUGAAAUUAAUUAUGCGGGUAUUUGAUUAAAUAUUGGAAUAAAGUGGGACAGUACGAAAUUAUUAAUGAUACUAGGUUGGUUAUUGUGGUUGUUGUUGAUUUUUGAGCGAGUUAAAUUCUCGGGAUGGCCUAUUUACAGGGGAAAUGCUGCCGAAUUUUCUGUAGAAUUGAGAGUUAGUUUGGAAUGAAUAAUUACUUAAGUGCCUAUGGUUAACAUUGGAUAUUCAUGGGCAUAUUUGUAGACCUUGGGGAGCCCGAGGCGUAGAUUUGGAUUAGCGUUAGAUUGGCUAGCUUGGAGUGCGUACAAGGUACAGACGCACAGUUUGGUGAUCCACCAAUUUAGGACACCCCCUUCUGCUGUUUGGAGUGCUCUUAUUCCGGAGCCUACAUUUUGGUAUAUAUACUUGUUUGAUGCAUAUGUAUAUAUUUGUUCAGGGGUACGGCGGGGCCCUAUUCCGCCAUAUGAUCCGUUUGGUCUGUUUAGAGGUCUGUAGACGUAUUUGUGGGUGUGUGUGCCUACUUCUGUACAGAUGUGUUUGUAUGACCCUGUUCGUUAUGGCAGCCUUGUCGGCGUGCACUUUGUAUAUGUUUUGGGCCGUUGCGCCAUCUGUUAGCCUUGUCGGCUUUUGAUACAUUUGAUAGCCUUGCCGGCUUUUUGAUAUAAGUAUAUGUAUAUGUUAGCGCUGAAUUGUGUCCGAUACAGUUUGACAUAGUUUGAGACGGCAUAUAGUGUUUAUGGCCGUAUAUGCUAUUUGGAUGUGAUCAGAUAUGGAUAGGCAUGUCAGGGUGCCCAAGUAGGGCGCCAGUCACGGCCUACGGGGUUGGGUCGUGACAUACAUGCUAACUGAUGUCAUUGCUCAGUAGUCAUGACCUGCAUGGGACCUGUUGACACCCAAUUUUGUCCCACCUUUCCUCCGAAAUACCUAUUUUACGCUUCCAAUAUUUUGGCAACUUUAAAAAAUAAUUAUUUAUGUUUUACUAUAAUUAUUAGCUUUUAUUAAUACCGGCAUUUCACCGUUACUACUACCAUUAUUAUUAUUAUUACUAUUAUUAUUAUUAGGAUUAUUAUUAUCAUCAUUAUUAUUAUUAUUAUUAUUAUUAUUUGUUAUUAUUAUUAAUACCAGUAUUAUCAUAAUUUGCGUUUCAGCAUUUUUACCACCUUAUGCAUACACAUCGCAUUUAUUUCGCACAAUUAAAUGGUAGCGUUUAUUUGUUUUCAAAAUAUUAUUGCACGACUAUUACAACGUCAUAUAAUUUUAUUACCUGAGCACUAAUAAUUACAUAUUUUAUAUUUUAGCACACUUAGUAUAUAAUUAAUUAAAAUGGGUCUUUUAUUUGAAAUUAGAAACCCAAAUUGGUUCUUUCAUCAGCCAAAUUAUUAGUCCAAAUACAAGCCCAAUUCACCCCCAAUAUUUUCAGAUUAACCCAAAACAAUUUUCAUAGCCCACAUUUUGAACGAUCCAGCCCACUACCCAAACCUACCCGACCCUUCCCUUUAGGAUAAUAUAGAACCCUUACCUAGAAUCACACUGAUUAAGCAGACUAUUAACGGAGGUUUAGUUAGCUUUACCUUUGUUAAUAAUUAGGUGCCCUAAUUCACCUUAAAAUCAAUUAGGUGGCGACUCCUUAAAACAAAGCAAAAUAGGAAUCUCCAACCUGUUGUACUCUAAUUUAACCCGUUUAAAAUGGGGUAUAACAGCUUGGCGACUCCGCUGGGGAACUAAAGGUUCUUAACCAUAACAACUUAGGUUAAUAAUUAAUUAAUUGGAUUGUUUUGGGUGUUUUGCCUUUAUCUUUGCUUUGUUGUUUUCUUAUGUGCUUUUAAAUGACUGUUUUAUUAUGACAAAUUUUCUAUGUUACUGCUUUCCUUAAACUGGCAUUCCGUUCAUAUUUCCUCCAUUUCUGGAAAACUCACACUAUCACACGUACACGCGAGGUGUGUUUUGCGCACCCGCAAAUUUCUUCGUAGAAUCCAAAUUUUAGGAGAGUUGGCGUAUGCGCGGGGUGUCCGAAUAACGGUGACCGCGUAGCCUUCUCACUCGAGUAGUCCACUCGGGAACCUUGUGUCUAGUAAGCCAAAUCUUAGAAAAACUUAAGAUAGAGCUUUGCCACCAAUUUUAUUAAGUCAUGCAUGCAUAAACCUUAGGUGGGCCGAUCCUUGGUAUCGGUUCCACAAUUCAAAAACCUACCAAAUUGUCAACGGGUUUGCAUAACCCAACGACCGACAAGCAUAUUAUGUGUAACGUGAUAGUGAUAGAAGGAUCCAAGUCUAACCACGACAUGUCGAGUUUGGGAAUCAUUUCUUUUUGUAGGAUGGUUUUUCACACCCCAAAGCUAGUUUAAUGCUUAAGUUCCUAUGUUACAUUUGAUAUUUGCUUCUGUUUCUGAUUAUGUAGUUAGCAAUGCGAUCACUUUGAGUGUAAUGAGUUCUAAGAAGAGCAUGAAUAAAUUUAUGUUUCCCCUUUAGUAAUUAAAGGUGUAUUUUCUGAAUGUUAGCUUGUAGUAUGCUGACAGUUGAAGUUGUUAUUUGAAAUGGCUUGAAUGAGGCUUUGUUAAGAUUUAAUCAAGUCCCUAUUGUGCUUUAAUCUUGGUAAAGAGUUCCCUUUUAUCAUGAUCCGUAGCUAAUCCCUGUUUGAAGAUAAUAAGGAGUUCACUGUCUUGUUCCAGCAUCUGUUGAACUUGGAUUUUUCACUUUGAAAUCUCUUUCAAGUUUUGAUAUGAGUUUAGGUGUUAAAUCUUGAAAAGUUACCAUUUGUAUGAGAUUCCAUAACAUGAUUAAAUCUUUGAGACAUGUUCAAAAAUACUUUAAACUUGUCAGGUGCUUUAUUGAACACAAUAAAUCAAGAUUAAAAUCUGUUUCCCACACCUUUAGCAUGCUAUAAGGAGCUUCAUGACUUCUUCUCAUUUUAGCUAGUUGUUGUCACUGUUUGCUACGCCAUAGAAUGACUACAUGUGUGGCUCAAACCUGGAAAUGUUCCCCAUAUUCACUUAAUUUGAGCCUCUGAGCUAUUUUUCUUCCCUUUUAUUGUGUAUCCUAAAGGGUAGUUUUGUUCUGUUUGGACUAAUUUCUUGGCCAAAUAUGGUCCUUGGUUUUAUUUCUAAUUUGAGCUUAACUCUAAAUCUUCUUCGUUUUGAACAAAUGUUGUGAGUGGUCAAUUGCACCCCCUUUUUAUUGGCUUUGAGCUUAAGAGUUGCUAAAUAUGCCUUCUUUUAGUUUUUUUCAUAUUCAAGAAUACUAAGCACAACUAUUUAACAAAUUUUUUACCUAGUUCAUCCUUGAGGAAUAGGUCAGUUCCCCUCUAAUUUUUUUUCAAAAAAAAAAAAAUAUCAGUAGUUAAGUCAAGGUUAGGACUGAGUUGUGGUUCUCUCUUGAUCCAUCUGGUUGUGCAAAUGUGUUCAUAAGUUAAAACUUGAGCUAGGCAUGCAUGAAAUAGUUAGUGUCUCUGUCUAAGAAUGAAGACUGCAGUAAAUGGCUUCACAUAUGUCAUAUAUUGUAACUCCCCUUUUGUUGCCUUAGCCUUUUAAGCCUGCUGCUUUGUUUUAUUGUUUAUGGCCAGUCCUUGAAAGUUCAUAUUUUCUUUAUACCCCAUUAUUGAGUUGAUGCACUCCUUUAUAUGGUUUGGUUUACUAGUUGCUAAAAUCCUAUGUACUAAACUGUUUGAAUGCAUGUUGUUCCUGUUAUUUUCCGAGGCUAUACUUUAAAGUAUACCCUAGAGAAAUCAAGUUCCUCCAGUGUUCUAAUUUCAAAGACUAGUUUGUUGUUUUAAUGUUGAAUUCUUGGAAACUUUUGAGCUGCUACUUGGCUGUUAUGUUUGCUAUAAAGAGCUGCUGAGAUUUUGGUCGUUUACACCUUUUCUUGAAGGUGUUUCACUGAUGCAUCUUGGCUGAAGUGCUAUUGUUUUUUUUUUUUUUAAAAAACUUGGAGCUUAAACAAAAGUCAAGGCAUGCCUUGGGUUCAGUUUAUCCUCCUUCGAUAGCUUGUCCAUGCCUAAGGUUCUAGAAACCUUUGCGACAUUGGAAACAUGGAUAGUGGUAACCCCCCUUUGGUGUCUCAUCUUUUCAAGUUUGAUGUUUAUUAUAUCAUGAAUAAGAUCUAAAUAAGAAUUUGCUAAUUACAUUGAACUGUAGCUUGUCCACACAUUUGGAGUAUGAAAUCUAUAGCUUCUGUUUAAUUCACGGGCUGCAUUUUGUUCUUACAAAAAUCUUAAUUGGUGGUUGAAUAGCUGGACUUAUCUUUACCCUUUUCUUUAGAUCUACCUUGAGAAUGAAGGUUCAAAAGGGUUGUGAAAGUUUUUACUGUAAUCUUUCCUCCCCCUUUUUAACCUACUUCUGUUGUUUGCUACAUCAUAGAGUGACUGCACAUUUGGUUCAAAUCUAAAAAAUGCUCAUUCAAACAUGAGUGAAUCAAUCUUAGUGUGUUGAGAGAUUAAUUAGGUAUUAAUCUAAAUAUGUGUUUAGAGUUCCUAAGUUCAAGUCUUAAGAUGUAGCUAAAACUUAAAAGUUUUCUCUUCUCUUUAGAAUUUGGCAGUCACUUGGCUUAAGCUGUAUUUGAACAUUUCCCUGUAGUUGAAUGUUGUGUCAUCUUGGUUAAGUGUUGAGGAUAUAUGGUUCUUCCAGAUUGUAUGUUUAAGUUUUUAUGUUUAAAGAAUAUUAUCUGGUAGUAAAGAAGACUAGCUUUUAGGAAAGUAUGCUGAGUUUCUGAACUCUUUUUUUUUUAUUUUUUUUUAUUUUUUUAUUUAUACUAAUUGCUUUGGUUUUGCCUAAGUUGAGGAUGAUUUACUUCCUUCUCUAUUUUAGUUGUUAUUUGAUUCUUGAUACUCAUGCCUCACCCCUCAUUUUCUUUGCAUGACUUCGAGAUUUUUCAAAUCCCAAAUGUCCCGGAGUUGCUAUCGAAUUAUGUACAUAGACAGAUCUUCUUUCUUGAACAUUUAACUUAGGACUAGCUUAAAAAAUAAUGAUCUUAAGAUGCUUUAUACACAUUUUUAAAAUCAGUGUUCUGAAGAAUCUUAUAUGGUUCUCUAUUCUGUCACAUGUUAGUAAGAAUGAAAAUAGGUGUGUGUGGUGAUAUAGUUGUUCUCUCCUGCUGCGUCUUAAGUCUUUAAUGCUGCACUGGACACUUCUAAGGGCUUGUAGUGUCUCCUGUCUUGAAGCCCAUUUUGAGCUGAUGCUUGACAAGCAAUAAUCUGGAUGUGUGUUUGGUUGUUAUGACCAUCUACUAUGAUUGGUUGUUGUACAUAGUUGCUGAUGUUUCUCUAUGAUGCUAUACUGCUGACCUUUGCUGUUGUAUUUUUGUGAGCUAUUAUGCUUGGGAUUUGACAAAGAACAGUACUACACUUGAUUUGCUGCUGCAAUCUUAACGAGCUGUUUUGCAGUAUGUUGAGAUUUGGGCUGCUGAUCAAGAGCAGACACUUCACUUGAGGCAGAAAUGAAAAAGAAGUGAAUAAAUACUGAACUUGAGCUGCUAUUUCAGAGGCAGCUUGCUGUCACACUUUAGCUACUGCCUGUUGUGUUUCUGCUGCCUCUUUUGAGGGUGAAUUGAUGCUAUUUAUUUCGUUGAACUGCUGGACUAUUGGCAAAUGGUUGCUACAUUUUUUAGGGCUGAAAGAUGAAAGUCUCUUAACCUUUCAAAGGAUAAGCUGCUGCACUUUUGACGUUUAAAAGAGUUGCAUUCAUGAGCUGAUGUGUUCUUGAAAUAUUGUUGUUCUUCUUCUACGUACUAUGGCUGCUUAUUGCUACUAUUUAUUGCGUAUUUGAGGCCUUUAAGUUUAAAGUGAACGGACUUCUAUACUUAGUGAAAAUCCCACUGAUUUGAUUAAAAACAUGAUUGAGAUAAUGUUUGUUGAGCUAAACCUAAAUUUCCAAGCGCUUUUCUUUUCCUGGGAACAUUCCUUAUCUUGUUCUGUCAGCAAGAUUUUGAUUAAUUUAAAUUGCAACUGCUAAAGGCUAUAUUUUGUAGAGCUAAGGAGGAAAAGGAUACCAACUGGUUUCCUGAAGGCUAAAGUCGUUUUGGUGUUAACUGGGGGAUCAAAUGACGCCGUGAACCAUCUAGUUUUCUUUGAUAUUUGUAUGUGUAGUAGCAGGAGAGGGAAAAAUUUAUAUAAGAGUUGAUCUCACGAUCUUUUCUUCUUUUGGUUUUCGUAUGGAAAUUUUCUAUUAGGAUUCUAAUUUAAUUAAGUUUCGCCUGGGUUGAGAGUGUUUAUUGCGUUUGGACGUCGUCAUGGGAAGACAAUUUGGAUAAGACAUUCUCGCUUUGGGACCAUGGUUGUCACUCCCGAGAUGUGGGAUCAAAUGACGAACAUAAUGCAAUAUUUGGGAAGUACGGGAGCAGGGCCUAGCAAUAAUAGAGCAUCAUCUUCAGCUCAGCCGCCAGCAUGAUCAAAUGCAAAUUUUAGGCCAAGUUCGUGAUUGUUUUUAUAUUAUGCUAUCUUUGAUGUAUUCUGGUUUAUUUGAUGUACUCGCUUUUAUUCAAUAGAAUUUGGCCUCUUUUAUUCCCAAA
This is a long non-coding RNA of Lycium barbarum (goji berry), 7009 nucleotides long. RefSeq lists it as uncharacterized. The record is from RefSeq and is a predicted model, not a curated record. The transcript is spliced from 2 exons. NCBI's taxonomy places the organism in Eukaryota, Viridiplantae, Streptophyta, Magnoliopsida, Solanales, Solanaceae.